Molecule: ribosomal RNA, 233 nt
Filed under: uncultured bacterium
Lineage: Bacteria
Description: partial 16S ribosomal RNA
Rfam family: Bacterial small subunit ribosomal RNA
Source: RNAcentral
GGCGGACGGGUGAGUAACGCGUGGGAAUCUACCUAUGAGUGGGGAUAACUUGGUGAAAACCAAGCUAAUACCGCAUGUGGUCUACGGACUAAAGCAGGGGAUCUUCGGACCUUGCGCUAAUAGAUGAGCCCGCGUUAGAUUAGCUAGUUGGUGGGGUAAAGGCCUACCAAGGCGACGAUCUAUAGCUGGUCUGAGAGGACGAUCAGCCACACUGGGACUGAGACACGGCCCAG